This 301-nucleotide ribosomal RNA is filed under the name uncultured bacterium. Its description in RNAcentral is "partial 16S ribosomal RNA". It matches the Rfam family "Bacterial small subunit ribosomal RNA", at positions 509 to 809 of the family's 1533-position model. The record is from RNAcentral.
CAGCCGCCGCGGUAAUACGAAGGGGGCUAGCGUUGUUCGGAAUCACUGGGCGUAAAGCGCACGUAGGCGGAUUUUUAAGUCAGGGGUGAAAUCCCGAGGCUCAACCUCGGAACUGCCUUUGAUACUGGAGAUCUUGAGUUCGGAAGAGGUUGGUGGAACAGCUAGUGUAGAGGUGAAAUUCGUAGAUAUUAGCUAGAACACCAGUGGCGAAGGCGGCCAACUGGUCCGACACUGACGCUGAGGUGCGAAAGCGUGGGGAGCAAACAGGAUUAGAUACCCCCGUAGUCCCUGUCUCUUAUAA